Molecule: ribosomal RNA, 489 nt
Filed under: uncultured bacterium
Lineage: Bacteria
Description: bacterial SSU rRNA
Rfam family: Bacterial small subunit ribosomal RNA
Source: RNAcentral
AUGAACGCUAGCUACAGGCUUAACACAUGCAAGUCGAGGGGCAGCAUGAUUGAAGCUUGCUUCAAUUGAUGGCGACCGGCGCACGGGUGAGUAACACGUAUCCAACCUUCCGUACACUCAGGGAUAGCCUUUCGAAAGAAAGAUUAAUACCUGAUGGUAUGAUGAGAUUGCAUGAUAGCAUCAUUAAAGAUUUAUCGGUGUACGAUGGGGAUGCGUUCCAUUAGGUAGUAGGCGGGGUAACGGCCCACCUAGCCUACGAUGGAUAGGGGUUCUGAGAGGAAGGCCCCCCACAUUGGAACUGAGACACGGUCCAAACUCCUACGGGAGGCAGCAGUGAGGAAUAUUGGUCAAUGGACGAGAGUCUGAACCAGCCAAGUAGCGUGAAGGAUGAAGGUCCUACGGAUUGUAAACUUCUUUUAUAAGGGAAUAAACCCUCCCACGUGUGGGAGCUUGUAUGUACCUUAUGAAUAAGCAUCGGCUAACUCCGUG